UCGGGAAUUUUGGGCAAUGGGCGAAAGCCUGACCCAGCAACGCCGCGUGAAGGAUGAGGUAUUUCGGUAUGUAAACUUCGUAAGAAUAGGAAGAAUAAAUGACGGUACUAUUUGUAAGGUCCGGCUAACUACGUGCCAGCAGCCGCGGUAAUACGUAGGGACCAAGCGUUGUUCGGAUUUACUGGGCGUAAAGGGCGCGUAGGCGGUUUGUCAAGUCAGUUGUGAAAUCUCCGAGCUUAACUCGGAACGGUCAACUGAUACUGUCAAACUAGAGUACAGAAGGGGCAAUCGGAAUUCUUGGUGUAGCGGUGAAAUGCGUAGAUAUCAAGAGGAACACCUGAGGCGAAGGCGGGUUGCUGGGCUGAUACUGACGCUGAAGCGCGAAAGCUAGGGUAGCAAACGGGAUUAGAUACCCUUGUAGUCCCUGAGCGGGCUGGCAAGGCGCAU
This 447-nucleotide ribosomal RNA is filed under the name uncultured bacterium. RNAcentral describes it as "bacterial SSU rRNA". It matches the Rfam family "Bacterial small subunit ribosomal RNA", at positions 355 to 825 of the family's 1533-position model. The record is from RNAcentral.